AUGGGGGUGGGCUAUUCUCACAUCUCUGUUAGUCCCGCCCUUCUUAUUUUGAUCCUGCUAGUUAUGCCAAAUAGUUUUUCAUCAGAUCGAUGCAGAUGUAUGGAAGCAUUAUUUUUAAGGCAGAGGCAGAUAGAUUUGUGGUCUUGCUCAGAACAGAAGGGUUUGUGUGUGCCAUAUCGUUUUCCUGUGUUACUUUCUGUUAGUCACAUGCUAACCAGGCAAAGCUUGAUUAGGACUGGGAGGGGUUGUUCAGCACGAGCUAUACUGCCUGCCUUAGCUCAUUUUGGAGCAUGGCCCACCAACACACACUACACCAUUGUCUUCGCAGAUCUAAGCAUAUAUUCAUGA
This 348-nucleotide ribosomal RNA is filed under the name Triticum aestivum (bread wheat). RNAcentral's name for it is "partial small subunit ribosomal RNA". The record is from RNAcentral. Lineage: Eukaryota; Viridiplantae; Streptophyta; Magnoliopsida; Poales; Poaceae.